CUUCAAACCACAAUCCCCAGAUUUCAGCUUCCUGAGUAGCUAGCAUAACAGUCAUGAGCCACCAGCACCUGGCUCGAUUUUUCUCUUUUUAAUACUUUAACAAAUCUUUCUAAGGCUAUCACUCUAAGUAAACAGAUUCAGAGAACUGAAGUCACCAGUGUAUUAGCUCACUAGUCUGGACAUGAAACUAUGUGUAGCUCACAACUAUUCUGAGUGGUCUUUAAGGUCUCUAUUUCAGAGGAAAAAGAAGCAUUAUCUAGAAAGGUCAGUGGUUGAACAAAGAUGGGCUGAACUGCAUAAUAAUCACUGCAGCACACAUGCAGGUGACUGAGGAACCACACACAGGCAGCAAACCAAACAAUGAGAUGUUAAAUGCCGUUUUAGCUAACAUGGGACAGAGAUGUACAGGACAGGAAGACAUAACAGUAGGAAGUUUAAUUUGAAAAGCACAUCUAAGUUUCAGAACCCUUUUACCAGUAAGUAUGCCAUAUCCCAGAGCCCUCAUUAAUUCACUAAAGGGAGUGAGGUCAUCCUAUGGGACUAAGCCAGAACCCGCCCUGCCUGUCCGGGCCAAGAGGACUGCUGCUGUUAAUGCUGCUCUAUUCCUUAUCCCUCCCAUUUCCUUGGCAAAGGGACAGAAGCUGAUGUAACUUCACAGAAGCAAGGGAAAGGAAAAACAAGCUUCUGAACAAAAUAUGAACCAACAAAAAAGCCAAACUUCCACCUCCAAGAAAACUUCCUUUUAUAAUUUGUUUUCAAAAGGACUCAGAUUAUCUUUAUCUUAAUAUAGCUUCUCACCUAAUGAUCUAUUCCCCCACAUAGUCUUCCUAUUCCUGACUAUAAUCUUAUUUGCUGGACUCCAAAAUGAGCUAAGGAAGGAGAUGAAAGAUUCAUCUUUUUUUCUUAAGCACCAUUUGUCUCAGGUUUGAACUCCGGGCCUUGUACUUGCUCGUACACUUGAUCAUCUGGUACUCUACCACUUCAGCCAUUCUUACAGCUUGGCUUUUUGUUGUAAUUGGAGAUAGCAGUCUUACAGACUUUUCUGCCUGGGCUGAUUAUGAACUUUGAUCCUCCGAGUCUCAGACUGACUAGCCAGGAUUUUAGGUGUGAGUCACUGAUAGCUGGCAAGAGCUAUCUUUUUGAGGAUUUCCAUUAAACCUGCCAAGGGCAGAAGUGGAAGUAUAACUCAAGAGGUAGAGAGCACCAGUCUUAUGUGAGAAAAAAAAGCUAAGCCAAGUGAGAGCAGAAGCCCUGAGUUCAAGCCCCAGUACUAGUACAAUAAACAAAUGAACUAACUAAUGAACUAGUGCUUUUUAAAAAAAACUUCCCACAAGGAGACAUGAGGCCUUCAUGGAAUGCUAAGGAUCUGCAUGGAAUUCCGGAGAUGUGGAUUAUAAAAUGCUCCCAAAGACUAGUGUUGGUCCCAGCUGGUAGAACUGUUGAGAAGUGACUGGAUCAUGAGGGUGGUAGCCUCAUCAAUUGACCAAUCCACUGGCAUGCUCUUACCUGAAUGGCUAUUAGGAGGUGGGACCUACUAGAAGGAGAAAAGUCACUUGGGGGCAUGCCUUUAAAGGAUAUAUCUCAUCCCCAGACCCCGCCCACAACCUUGCUGAUUCCUGGUGGCCAUAAGUGGAGCAGAUUUCUUCCACUAUACCCUUCUACCAAGAUGCAAUGGCUCCCCCAAUGUCCAGAAAUGACCAAGUGAACUAACUAGUUCUGAAACCUCUGGAACUGAGCAAGAAUAAGCCUUUCUUA
This is a long non-coding RNA of Perognathus longimembris pacificus (Pacific pocket mouse), 1755 nucleotides long. RefSeq lists it as uncharacterized. The transcript is spliced from 2 exons. The record is from RefSeq and is a predicted model, not a curated record. NCBI's taxonomy places the organism in Eukaryota, Metazoa, Chordata, Mammalia, Rodentia, Heteromyidae.